Mercurialis annua (annual mercury) is the source of this 971-nucleotide long non-coding RNA. RefSeq lists it as uncharacterized. NCBI's taxonomy places the organism in Eukaryota, Viridiplantae, Streptophyta, Magnoliopsida, Malpighiales, Euphorbiaceae. The transcript is spliced from 4 exons. The record is from RefSeq and is a predicted model, not a curated record.
UAUCUUUAUUCGUGUUUCUUUCGAUUUUCCUCCAUUUUUUUAACCGUCUUUCUUCCACUUGCUAAGGUUGCCUUAGCUUCUUUUUGCUUCAGUCCCCCCCUUAUUUUCGAUCUCUUGCUUAUUUUCUUCGUUCUCACUUCUGCUUUAAUGGCUUUUUUUUCCUGAUACGAAUUGUUUGCAAAUUGCAAUAGAUCCAAACCCUAAUUUGCUCAAUUUCUAUGAAGAUGGUGAUGCUUAAUUCUUUUAGAGGUUUGUUUUUGUUCAACCUCCGACUCUCUCAACGAGGCUAAGAGACAAACAACCUGCUCGCUUAGUUCAUCAACAUAAUUUUACCUGCCAAGCACCUAAUUACAUUUCCCUGCAGCUAAUUGCUACCAAGAUGGAGAGACAGCUGCUUCAGAUCGGAGCCUUGAAGUAUCAGUGUCAUUUGGUUGAUUUGAGAACGAUCCACUGUUUCAGCCAAUUGCAAUCUUCUGCUGAAGGAAGAUCAUUGGCAGCAAGAAGAGAUCUUUUAUUUUUACUAUUUGCUUCACCAUUUUUAGGUCGUUAAACAUUAUUGCCAAUUUCAUUCCAGCAAAAGGGAGAGAAGCUAAAGUUUCCUGUGAAAAGAGAAUGCAAGAUUUUGGAAGUUGAAUUGUACCAUAGAUCAAUCGUCUGCAUGUUCUUUCCUCUCUUGUGUUAUUACCAUGACAACAUUUUUCAGGAAUUAGGGCAUGACCGCCUUGAAGCUCAUCUGUCACGGUUCUACAUCAAUAUUUUGGACAUGUUAUGUGUCUUUUUAAAUGGCGAAGGCUGAUCCAAUUAGACAUAAGAUUGUUCAUGUUAUAAAAUAAGAUGAAAACUACGCUGCCUUUGUAGUGUAUUAGAUAUAGAAAUGUAAAAUAGUUUUAUGGUUAAGGUUUUAACCAAUUAAAAACAUAAAAAUUCCUUUUCUAUUAGAUAAUAGAAAAAGUAUAAUUAUAUUUCUGGUA